GACGAACGCUGGCGGCGUGCUUAACACAUGCAAGUCGAACGGAAAGGCCCUGCUUUUGUGGGGUGCUCGAGUGGCGAACGGGUGAGUAACACGUGAGUAACCUGCCCUUGACUUUGGGAUAACUUCAGGAAACUGGGGCUAAUACCGGAUAGGAGCUCCUGCUGCAUGGUGGGGGUUGGAACGUUUCGGCGGUUGGGGAUGGACUCGCGGCUUAUCAGCUUGUUGGUGGGGUAGUGGCUUACCAAGGGUUUGACGGGUAGCCGGCCUGAGAGGGUGACCGGCCACAUUGGUACUGAGAUACGGCCCAGACUCCUACGUGGGGCAGCAGGGGGGAAUAUUGCACAAUGGGCGGAAGCCUGAUGCAGCAACGCCGCGUGCGGGAUGACGGCCUUCGGGUUGUAAACCGCUUUCGCCUGUGACGAAGCGUGAGUGACGGUAAUGGGUAAAGAAGCACCGGCUAACUACGUG
RNAcentral lists this ribosomal RNA (468 nucleotides) under uncultured bacterium. Its description in RNAcentral is "partial 16S ribosomal RNA". It matches the Rfam family "Bacterial small subunit ribosomal RNA", at positions 28 to 507 of the family's 1533-position model. The record is from RNAcentral.